Long non-coding RNA from Cicer arietinum (chickpea), 301 nucleotides. RefSeq lists it as uncharacterized. NCBI's taxonomy places the organism in Eukaryota, Viridiplantae, Streptophyta, Magnoliopsida, Fabales, Fabaceae. The record is from RefSeq and is a predicted model, not a curated record.
ACAACCUUAACUUUAAGGAUUAGAGACUAACAAAGAAAAACACUAUGGAAAGCUUAAAGGAGGAAACAUUGUUAAAAGGAUUGAAGACUUACUUUUACAAAGGAAGAUAACUUAAGAGUCUUGAGAGAAUUAGUGUGGUUCUACCUUUGGAAGAUGGAGCAAGGAGGUGGUAGCAGUCAAGGAGGACAAUAAGGAGUAAUAGAGCAACAUCACUGUAUUAUAUGCUUAAUUAUGUACAUUGAUACUUAAUAUGUAUGCUUGUAAGUAUUAUAUGUUAAAUUUCCAACUCUUUUAUGCUUAG